GUUCUCUGCAUGAUUUCUGCAAGGAGAAGAGACAGGAAGAGGAAAUUUGGAAAGGUAUUACUCAAUCCUUCUCUCAGGUCCUCGUCACAGCCAUGCCCAGCCCAGCUCUCUGCCAGGCAGUAUAUAUGAGCCACUGUCUCCACUGAAGUCACACACCUUUGCACACUGAUAAACAACAAACAGCAGCAGAGAGUUGGAUUGAUUUUACAGAGGAUUUAAAAGAAUUUAUAAACUACAGACCAGAAAGUGACAGCAAUCAAUCAGAAAUGGAACUUCUGAAAACCGCCCUCGUCAUCGCCCUUCUUACAACAACAUCUGCCAAGCCAAUGGCUUUCAGAAGGCAUCAUGAUGCCGAUAUCCCCGACCACAAAAUCCAACAUUAUCACCACAGGUUCACUGGGGAUGCUUUCAACUCCAUGAGCUCCAGCGAAUCUUCAGAAAGUCAAUCAUCUGAGGAGGGGGGGUUGUCCUCUGAGGAGAUUAUCGAUCCCGAAGUGACCACGCCAGUCACGACCUCUACUGCGAUGACAACUGUUGAAGAGGGGAGUACAGUCCCUCCUGAAGUAAGCACAAUGGGUACUGACCAACCAAUUGUGAUGAAGACGACGCCCCUUCCAGCAACGCCAACCCCAUCUGUCAAUGCCACACCAACAUGCGAUCAGUGCUUUACGGUGCUGAUUCCAACAGCAGCUCCCAUUACUGACAACAGAGGAGACAACUGAGCAACAGUCAGACAACGAGAGCCAUAUUGUUGAACAAAUGUUUGACUUUAGUGAGCCGCCUGUGGACACUUUCUAUCCAAUUUAGAAAAUUUUUUUUCCCAGUUUGCUUUUUUUAUAUAAAUUAUUUUGCUUGUAUUUAAAAAUGGCUUUAAAAAAGAAGUGCUUAUGCACUGGUUUGAUGGGUAUCGGAUCAUCACAAUCAGAACUCUGCUUUGCAUGUUGCAGUAACUUAGAAAGACAGCAAUAAAACAUUGGUUUACACUGAGAAACAUUGGACAUAUACAAUAAAAUCUGAUUCUUUAAAACGUGUACAGAAUGAGAAGUGCCAAUAGGAUGCUGAAUUAUUUUGAAUCCAUUUUUUUCCCUUAAAGAAGUAACAGAGGUUGUGUUACCUUUUAACUCCCCCUUUUUAGCAUGCAAUCAGCAGAAUUAAGAGACAUCUUAAAUUUAGAAGUCUAAAUAACAGGGCAGAGAAUGUGAUGGCAUGAUGAUAAGGCAAUACUUUCUUAAAGCCAAUUUUAAAUUAACAUUAGAGACAUUGCAGAGUUACAAAAAGCAAAGUGUGUGAAGUCUGGUUCAAAUGGAUGAUUUCACUCAUGCUUACUAGUACUGUGAACUGUCAGUAAAGAAAAUGUUUCUUUAUAUGUGUGUGUGUGUGUGUGUGUGCUACUAAAUGUAUAUUUAGACGAAUUUUUAAUCUUUCACUGCUGUUUAGUCCUAUGAAAUGGAGUGGAUGACCUGCAGUUUUUAGGUAAAAGCUAUUGCUUCAUAGCAUAUUUCAUACAAACAAAAGCACUUAAAUAUUUAAUUAUAUUAAAUGAAAAUACUCUGUUUGCAUGUUUAUUGCAGCUUUGAGGACAAUUCUUACAAUGUGUUAAAAUUAACUUCAGGUUUUCUGGAAAGAUCUGCUGAUAUGUUGGAAGUGUAAAGAUAUGUGGCCAAGCAGAAAAAACAUCCAAGGCAAGCGAUGGUUACUGAUUAAAUUUUACAAAACAACAACAAAAGGUUAUUACUCUUCGUGAGGUAUCCAGAAUAUGUAUCCCACAGCAGUGUGUUUAUAGACUGGGGAGGGUGUGUCGCGUCAGGUCUUGUCUGUACAUGCUGGUGAGUCCUUACCACAGUGGGGUUCUGUAAUUGCACGCUAUAAAUGUACAUGUUCACAGAUUAAAUGUAGAACAGAGAGGCAAAAGAAGACCUAAAUGUUGCUGAUUGUUACUGUUUUAUACUGCUUUGGACUUGUUUGGACCUAAUAUGCCUGAUUAUACAACAACUGCUGUUUUUUUUUUUCUAAUAAAGAAAAAAAAUCCAUACAGAAUAAAAAAAAUAUGGUCAUAUUUAUAUCAUCAUUUAAUUCUUAAAUUAAACGUUUUAGGCAGGUGAGCUAUAAAUAAAGAAUGAUUUCAAAAA
Molecule: long non-coding RNA, 2129 nt
Organism: Maylandia zebra (zebra mbuna)
Lineage: Eukaryota; Metazoa; Chordata; Actinopteri; Cichliformes; Cichlidae
Source: RefSeq, a predicted model, not a curated record